CCUACGGGUCGCAGCAGUGGGGAAUAUUGCACAGUGGGCGCAAGCCUGAUGCAGCCAUGCCGCGUGUAUGAAGAAGGCCUUCGGGUUGUAAAGUACUUUCGGCGGGGAGGAAGGCGAUAAGGUUAAUAACCUUGUCGAUUGACGUUACCCGCAGAAGAAGCACCGGCUAACUCCGUGCCAGCAGCGGCGGUAAUACGGAGGGUGCAAGCGUUAAUCGGAAUUACUGGGCGUAAAGCGCACGCAGGCGGUCUGUCAAGUCGGAUGUGAAAUCCCCGGGCUCAACCUGGGAACUGCAUUCGAAACUGGCAGGCUGGAGUCUUGUAGAGGGGGGUAGAAUUCCAGGUGUAGCGGUGAAAUGCGUAGAGAUCUGGAGGAAUACCGGUGGCGAAGGCGGCCCCCUGGACAAAGACUGACGCUCAGGUGCGAAAGCGUGGGGAGCAAACAGGAUUAGAUACCCCAGUAGUC
RNAcentral lists this ribosomal RNA (465 nucleotides) under uncultured bacterium. RNAcentral's name for it is "bacterial SSU rRNA". It matches the Rfam family "Bacterial small subunit ribosomal RNA", at positions 338 to 795 of the family's 1533-position model. The record is from RNAcentral.